GAUUCUCUUCUAUGUUGCCAGCGCGUAAUGGCGGGGACUCAUAGGAGACUGCCGGGGUCAACUCGGAGGAAGGUGGGGAUGACGUCAAAUCAUCAUGCCCCUUAUGCCUAGGGCUGCACGCAUGCUACAAUGGCCGAUACAAAGGGCUGCGAUACCGCAAGGUGGAGCGAAUCCCAUAAAGUCGGUCUCAGUUCGGAUUGGGGUCUGCAACUCGACCCCAUGAAGUUGGAGUUGCUAGUAAUCGCAGAUCAGCAACGCUGCGGUGAAUACGUUCCCGGGUCUUGUACACACCGAAU
RNAcentral lists this ribosomal RNA (296 nucleotides) under uncultured freshwater bacterium. RNAcentral's name for it is "partial 16S ribosomal RNA". It matches the Rfam family "Bacterial small subunit ribosomal RNA", at positions 1098 to 1395 of the family's 1533-position model. The record is from RNAcentral.